Molecule: long non-coding RNA, 670 nt
Organism: Magnolia sinica
Lineage: Eukaryota; Viridiplantae; Streptophyta; Magnoliopsida; Magnoliales; Magnoliaceae
Exons: 2
Source: RefSeq, a predicted model, not a curated record
AUUUUCUCAAUGAUUUCGACAAACCCUCUUGUUGAUGCUGAAAGAUUUGAGGCAUCAACAACAAUAGGCCACCAUAAGGCGUUAUUUAGUCAAGCACUACCACAUUCAAAAAUAUGAAAAUGUGCAUAACAUGUUCAGCAAAACUCCUGUAAAUAUGAGAUCUCCUGCCUUAGUGAAGCAAUAUUGACAUCCUUCUCAUCUCAAUCUCUAAAUUUCAAGAUUUGAUUGUAUUUUACAUGAGGAUUUCAUUGAUUAAAAUUAAAAUUCAGAACAAUUUAAUCUUUCAUGUCUUUCAUAAAGCUCCUAUAAAAAGUUCUUACAGAAAGAAAAUAUUUCUCAUUUAGUCACUUCCCAAUCCAGUAUGUCACGGAUCCAGGCAAAAUCAUCCCCUGGAGUAGGAUUACUUGAGCUUGAUGAAUCUACAUUCAAAAAUGCAUUAAUAUCAUUCUCAUCUUGAUUAGUGGACGUAGCAGAAGUAGUUGGGCCCACACCCAUCACUGUCGACGACGAUGAUGCUAAAGACAUGGGCCCAGAGCAUGUGGAGGUUAUUGGAGCAGCAGCAUUACUGAUAUUGUUGCGGCAUAAUCUCCUAACAGACUCACCAAUUUCAGACUUCCACAUUAUGGUGGGAUUUGGUGGGCCUUUUCCAGACUCCUGCUUCGCUUCUUCA